UGCAGGUUGAAUCUCUAGCUUUGUUCUGGAU
RNAcentral lists this non-coding RNA (31 nucleotides) under Mus musculus (house mouse). The record is from RNAcentral. Lineage: Eukaryota; Metazoa; Chordata; Mammalia; Rodentia; Muridae.